Molecule: ribosomal RNA, 440 nt
Filed under: uncultured bacterium
Lineage: Bacteria
Description: partial 16S ribosomal RNA
Rfam family: Bacterial small subunit ribosomal RNA
Source: RNAcentral
CCUACGGGUGGCAGCAGUAGGGAAUAUUGCUCAAUGGGGGAAACCCUGAAGCAGCAACGCCGCGUGGAGGAUGAAGGUUUUCGGAUUGUAAACCCCUUUUGUUAGAGAAGAUAAUGACGGUAUCUAACGAAUAAGCACCGGCUAACUCCGUGCCAGCAGCCGCGGUAAUACGGCGGGUGCAAGCGUUACUCGGAAUCACUGGGCGUAAAGAGCGCGUAGGCGGGAUAGCAAGUCAGAUGUGAAAUCCUAUGGCUUAACCAUAGAACUGCAUUGGAUACUGUUAGUCUAGAGUAUGGGAGAGGUAGGUGGAAUUCGUGGUGUAGGGGUAAAAUGCGUAGAGAUCAAGAGGAAUACUCAUUGCGAAGGCGACCUGCUAGAACGUAACUGACGCUGAUGCGCGAAAGCGUGGGGAGCAAACAGGAUUAGAUACCCCGGUAGUC